Molecule: unclassified non-coding RNA, 339 nt
Filed under: soil metagenome
Description: partial contains 5.8S ribosomal RNA, internal transcribed spacer 2, and large subunit ribosomal RNA
Rfam family: 5.8S ribosomal RNA (bases 1-120)
Source: RNAcentral
GAUGAAGAACGUAGCGAAAUGCGAUAAGUAAUGCGAAUUGCAGAAUUCCGUGAGUCAUCGAAUCUUUGAACGCACAUUGCGCCCUCUGGUAUUCCGGAGGGCAUGCCUGUCUGAGCGUCAUUGUCAACCCUCAAGCUUAGCUUGCUGUUGGGUCCCCGUCGUUGCUUUAACGGCGGACCCGAAAGGUAAUGGCAGAGUCCGUGAGACCCUAGACGCAGCGAGCUUCUAGCACGCGUCUGGACGUUUUUCGGGCUCGGUCUUAACUAGAUGAUAACUUCCGAUUGACCUCAGAUCAGGUAGGGAUACCCGCUGAACUUAAGCAUAUCAAUAAGCGGAGGA